Long non-coding RNA from Oncorhynchus tshawytscha (Chinook salmon), 1289 nucleotides. The record is from Ensembl. Lineage: Eukaryota; Metazoa; Chordata; Actinopteri; Salmoniformes; Salmonidae.
ACUAGAGCAUGGUGAAUAUAGAGUAGACUACUGGAGGAGGGUUAACAGACAGUCAGUCCUCUAUUCUAUAUUCACCAUGCUCUAGUCUAGUCUAGACUCCUGGAGGAGGGUUAACAGACAGACAGUCCUCUACUCUAUAUUCACCAUGCUCUAGUCUAGUCUAGACUCCUGGAGGAGGGUUAACAGACAGUCCUCUACUCUAUAUUCACCAUGCUCUAGUCUAGACUCCUGGAGGAGGGUUAACAGACAGUCCUCUACUCUAUAUUCACCAUGCUCUAGUCUAGACUACUGGAGGAGGGUUAACAGACAGUCCUCUACUCUAUAUUCACCAUGCUCUAGUCUAGACUACUGAAGGAGGGAUAACAGACAGUCAGUCCUCUACUCUAUAUUCACCAUGCUCUAGUCUAGUCUAGACUACUGGAGGAUGGUUAACAGACAUUCAGUCCUCUACUCUAUAUUCACCAUGCUCUAAUCUAGACUACUGGAGGAGGGAGGGUUAACAGACAGUCCUCUACUCUAUAUUCACCAUGCUCUAGUCUAGACUACUGGAGGAGGGUUAACAGACAGUCAGUCCUCUACUCUAUAUUCACCAUGCUCUAGUCUAGACUACUGGAGGAGGGUUAACAGACAGUCAGUCCUCUACUCUAUAUUCACCAUGCUCUAGUCUAGUCUAGACUCCUGGAGGAUGGUUAAUAGACCAAUUGGACAUGUUAGCUGACUAGUGGGUUGGGUAACAUCAUUCUAUCCCACAUUCCAUUUCAGCUGUGCUAUGAACAGAACUGUAAAUUACUACUAAUUUAUAGCUACGUAAACCUACAUGGAACCCACCCACAUACCUGGAACUUAUAACAUGUAAACUACCCUACAAUAAACUGUUCACCUUUUGGAAAGUUUGUCAAUCUACAUAUUGUUAAAUGUGUUUUUGGUUCGGAGAGGAGAUAAUUCUCUGAAUGUUCUAUACAAAUGUUAAGGUAAGCAUUCUCCACUUUUUGAUGUGUCAGGGUUCUCUUCUCUUGAUGUGUCAGGGUUCUCUUGAUGUGUCAGGGGUCUCUUCUCUUGAUGUGUCAGGGUUCUCUUCUCUUGAUGUGUCAGGGUUCUCUUGAUGUGUCAGGGUUCUCUUCUCUUGAAGAUUGAUGUUGGAGACGAAAACUAAAGCCAAAACCCAAGUAUUCUCAUCUGUCACGUUUUUUUAAUAUAUAUUUUUUACAUUUUCAACAAUACUCUGAUGUAAAAUCAAUCAAAAUGUUUCUCUUCUGUUGACAUUUGUGAGCCCCUGAUUUCAGGGUUCU